GCAGACACUGAAGGAUGUUUCACACAACUUGUAAACACUAAAAUAUUUCAGCUGAGACAAAAAGAGUAUGACAUGACGAUACAUGUCAAAGCGAAGGUCAAAGAGGAGGGAACCGGAUUGGAAUUAACUGGGCAUGGAUCAUAUGAAAUCACAGAUACCUUAAGGAUACUGAGAUUUACUAAAGUAGAUUCACAUUACAGAAGUGGACUCCCCUGGUAUGGACAGGUUCUUCUAGUCAAUGAAAACCAUCAGCCAAUCACCAACAAAACUGUAGAUGUUCAUGUGAAUACUAGAUACUAUUUCAGUGCAACUACUGAUGAGCAUGGUUUGGUGAACAUUUCCAUGGACACCACCAACUACAUAUCACCUUUUCUCACAGUUUCAGUCAAAUACAAAGAGAGUAACAAUUGUUCUGAUAACUGGUGGCUUGAUGAAUUUCAUACGCAAACAUCUCAUACUGCAAAGCAUUUUUUUUCCCCAAGCAAGAGUUAUAUUCACCUCAAACCUAUUAUUGGUACUUUGACCUGUGGACAAACCCAGGAGAUUCAAGCACACUACAUUCUGAAUAAACAGAUUCUCAGGGAUGAAAAAGAAUUAACCUUCUACUAUUUGAUCAAAGCAAGAGGAAAAAUCUCCCAAUCAGGAAUCCAUGUGUUAUCCAUUGAACAAGGAAACAUGAAAGGGGUGUUUUCCUUCUCCUUUCGAGUGGAAUCAGACUCUGCUCCUAGUGCUCAUCUGCUUGUUUACACUGUUUUACCUAAUGGAGAAAUUGUUGCAGACACUGACAAGCUUGAGAUUGAAAACUGUUUUGCCAACAAGGUAAAUUUGAGAUUCUCCUCAGCUCAGAGCCUGCCAGCCUCAAACACCCGCCUGAAGGUGAGAGCCACCCCCCUCUCCCUUUGUGCCCUCCGUGCUGUAGACCAGAGUGUGCUGCUAAUGAAGCCUGAAGCUGAGCUCUCACCUAAAUCUGUGAGUCACGUUCCAACCUU
Molecule: long non-coding RNA, 989 nt
Filed under: Homo sapiens (human)
Lineage: Eukaryota; Metazoa; Chordata; Mammalia; Primates; Hominidae
Description: novel transcript
Source: RNAcentral